GAGGGCGUGGCCAGGAAAAGGAUGCGCUGGGUCGCUGAACCACCGGCUUGUGUGAUAAAGCUAUGUGACAUUUUAGAUACAUGGACAACAGAAAGACGGAAUUGGACAAAGAAUGAAAAUGCAGGGAAGAAAUAAAUCAGCAAACAAAACACUGAACGUGAAAUUGGAAAGUGGUUGUAAUGGGAAGGAUGAAGAUGUCCCAAAGGAAGUAACACUGGCAACAACUUUCACAUUAAAGAAACUUUUGGGGAAAUUUUACAAAUUUAAAUACAAAGGGUAAAACACUGGAAGCGAUCCAUACUUAGAAAGGAAUAUGACAAUUCACUAAAGCAAAGCAAGAUGCUUACUUCAUAUCAUAAAUUACAUGAUUUAUGUGCUAAGAAGCUGUUGUGAUUUUCAAGAAUCUCGAGGAAGCUCCCAAUAGCUAUCUCAUUCUGCCACAACAAAGCAGAUAUCUCUUAAGUGCUUACUAAGAAGCCCAUGUGACUUUCACAUCUGCCUAUGCACCUGUCUGCAACUACCCCAGAGUAUAAUAGACUGUUCUCUUCCACCUUUUAAAUCUCAUUCAUGCAAGUGCCUCCUACUGGAAAACUGUAAUCCAGAAUCAUUUCGGGGAGAGGAUUCUGGGAAACUGUUCACUGGCUUCCCUUCUGUGAUACAAAAAGAGGAUCUUAAAGCAGCUUGGUCGUUGUGGUAGGCAGAAAAAUUGCCUUCCAGAGAUGUUCGAUCCCUGCAACCUGUGAAUAUAUUACUUUAUAUGCGAACAGAAACUUCAGAGAUGGUAUUAAGUUUACUUUAAAAAUAGAGAAAACAUCCUGGAUUAUUCACAUGAUCCUAGUGUGAUCACAUGUGUCCUUAUUAAAACUGGAAGAGGGAGACAGAAGACUGAGUCAGAGAGAUGCAAGAAAAUUCAAAGUGUGAGAGGGACUCCUACCCACCAUUGCUGGUGUGAAAGAUAGAGAAAAGGGGCCAGAAGCCAAGGCAUGGAGGCAGCAUCUACAAGCUAGAUAUCACCUUCAUCUGACAGCCUCAAAGGAAACAGGAAUGCUAGUGCUACAAUUGCAACAACCUGAAUGUACAAUAAAGCAAUUCUCGACCGGGCACAGUGGCUCAUGCUUGUAAUCCCGGCACUUUGGGAGGUCGAAGCAGGCGGAUCACCUGAGGUUGGGAGUUCGAGACCAGCCUGGCCAACAUGGAGAAACCCAUCUCUACUAAAAAUACAAAAUUAGCUGGGCGUGGUGGUGCACACCUGUAAACCCAGCUACUCGGGAGCCUGAGGCAGGAGAAUUGCUUGAACCCGGGAGGCAGAGAUUGUGGUGAGCCAAAAUCUUGCCGUUGCAUUCCACCCUGGGCAACAAGAGCAAAACUUCAUCUCAAAACAAAAAAAAAACAAAACAAAACAAAACAAAAAAACCAAUUCUCACUUAGAGCCUUUAGAAAGGAACAGAGCUCUACUGACUCCUUCAUUUCUGCUUGGUAUUAGAGACAGACUUGUAACUCCUUCAGCUCCUGCGGUAUCUUCAGCUUCAUCUUCUCUGACUGUUGGGCCAGGUGUGUGUUUAGCUUCCCGAUGAAGGACAUUGACUUCUCUUGCACUUCAUCUGCAUCAUCCAAGUUGAAGGUUUAGAGGUCGCGGGAAACUGAUGUGGAUUUCUGCUUAUCUUUGGGAAUUCUGGUUAUCCCUUUUCUCCACCAUUUUGCAGGCAUCUUUCCUUCCUUACUGCCUGUCCUGCUGUCUUCAGAGUAAACACAAGACUCAGAAGUAAUGGGAAAAUAUAGAUUUCUUUACCACUUCCUACAAUAGCAUAUAAUCAAAUAAUGCCUAUAAUAAAUGCUUUAUUCUAUAUUACUUGUAGUGGUUCUGUUGCAAUUGUGAUACAUGUCUGGUUUCAUAAUGUUUCCAGAUAGUCUCUUACAUCUUAUCAGCCUGAACAAUAUUAUUGCCUGCAUAGAUUCCCCACAUGGCAAAUCUACAUGCAGUUGUCCCAGAAAAUAAAAGCUGUCCCAGACAGCCUUUCCAACUUUUAUCUUCUGACAAUAUUAUCUCACAACAACAGAUUACACCUUAGCUACUCCCUUAAAUCACAUUUUGCCCCUCCCAUCUUCUUCACAUCAGUGUUAUGCUUUAUUGUGCUCGGUGAUAUAAUUUGGAAUUUGUAGCUAUAGACAACAUUUCUGUCUUUGCCAAGCAGUUAAUUAAGGUGUUACUAUAACCUCACUGCAAAUGUAAUCUAAAGGAUUAAAGUAUGACUCAAACUUACCUAUCUCAAGAUAGUCAGAUAAGCUAUAUUUUGGGAAACUAACAUUGAAUGAGCUUCUACAUUAUGCUUAUCACAUCCUCUCAUUUACUACUAAAAACCUUGCAUGAUUAAUAUAGUUUUGCCUAUUUCACAAAUGAAAAAACUGAGGCACAGAGAUGUUACUAUGAAAACAAUGACUCUAAUGUACGUAACUGUGAAUGGACUUGAUUUGGUUUCUUCCUGUAGAAAGCAUGUCAAUGGGCUCUCCCAUAUACUUUUUCGAUUUCUCUCCCCUGCUCAUCACACAUUUUAACUCUGUCCCUGACUAUACAUUGGCCUUAUUCUCAUCAGCUGCAGAUGUGGUUUUCCCACAAGACUGUGGAGUUUCUGGCAACAACUAGGCUUCAUAUGUUCCCAGUUGAACAACUCCAAUAGAAAAAUAACUUUCUUCUGAAAGUCUUCCAGGGGAG
Molecule: long non-coding RNA, 2710 nt
Filed under: Homo sapiens (human)
Lineage: Eukaryota; Metazoa; Chordata; Mammalia; Primates; Hominidae
Description: HSALNT0286934
Source: RNAcentral